CAGGGAAAGAGAAAGGAAGGAAGAAAGAGAGAGAGGAGGAAAACGGAGACAGGGAAAGGAGAAACAGAUUACAUUUGAUCUUCUCUUCUCCUUCUAUUUUUUUUCCUGCCUUUUUUUCCACCCUCUCUUCCCUUCUUUUUCUCCUUAUGUUU
Molecule: microRNA precursor, 152 nt
Filed under: Corchorus capsularis
Lineage: Eukaryota; Viridiplantae; Streptophyta; Magnoliopsida; Malvales; Malvaceae
Description: pre miRNA MIR2118
Source: RNAcentral